AGUGAACGCUGGCGGUAGGCCCAACACAUGCAAGUCAAACGGCAGCACAGUAAGAGCUUGCUCUUACGGGUGGCGAGUGGCCGACGGGUGCGGAAUACAUCGGAAUUUACUUUUUCGUGGGGGAUAACGUAGGGAAACUUACGCUAAUACCGCAUACGACAUACGGGUGAAAGCAGGGGAUCUUCGGACCUUGCGCGAUUGAAUGACCCGAUGUCGGAUUAGCCAGUUGGCGGGGUAAAGGCCCACCCAGGCGACGAUCCGUAGCUGGUCUGCCAGGAUGAUCAGCCACACUGGAACUGAGACACGGUCCAGACUCCUACGGGAGGCAGCAGUGGGGAAUAUUGGACAAUGGGCGCAAGCCUGAUCCAGACAUACCGCGUGGGUGAAGAAGGCUUUCGGGUUGGAAAGCCCUUUUGUUGGGAAAGAAAAGCAGCAGGUGAAUACCCCUCUGUUCUGACGGUACCCAAAUAAUAAACCCCGGCUGACUUCGUG
Molecule: ribosomal RNA, 492 nt
Filed under: uncultured bacterium
Lineage: Bacteria
Description: partial 16S ribosomal RNA
Rfam family: Bacterial small subunit ribosomal RNA
Source: RNAcentral